GCCAAUGUAGCUCAGUUGGUAGAGCAAUGCUUUCGUAAAGCAAAGGUCGUGGGUUCGAUUCCCGCCAUUGGCU
Molecule: transfer RNA, 73 nt
Filed under: Candidatus Woesebacteria bacterium
Lineage: Bacteria; Candidatus Woeseibacteriota
Description: tRNA-Thr
Rfam family: tRNA
About the family: Transfer RNA (tRNA) molecules are approximately 80 nucleotides in length. Their secondary structure includes four short double-helical elements and three loops (D, anti-codon, and T loops).
Source: RNAcentral